RNAcentral lists this unclassified non-coding RNA (233 nucleotides) under Hevea brasiliensis (rubber tree). The record is from RNAcentral. Lineage: Eukaryota; Viridiplantae; Streptophyta; Magnoliopsida; Malpighiales; Euphorbiaceae.
GCCUGACAUUUAUGCUAAGGUCCUAGCUGAGCAAAAGGAGGUUUCAGCAGCUAAAGAGGCAGGUAAGCUGCUGGAGUGGGGUGACAUUCAGAAGAUGAAAUACUCCUGGAACGUAUUGCAUGAGGUGAUGAGGCUCACACCUCCACUCCAAGGAACUUUCAGAGAGGCCUUGACUGAUUUUACAUAUGCUGGGUACACUAUUCCCAAGGGAUGGAAGGUAUAUUGGACGGUGG